AGCUUUGUGCAGUGGCGGUAUCGUAGUCAAUGAGGUUUAUCUGAGGCGUGAUUAUUGCUAAUUAAAAUUUUCCCAAUACUCCGCUGUGACAACUUGUAAUAUAGUCGGCAUUGGCAAUUUUUGACAGUCUCUACAGAGA
RNAcentral lists this small nuclear RNA (139 nucleotides) under Saimiri boliviensis boliviensis (Bolivian squirrel monkey). Its description in RNAcentral is "U4 spliceosomal RNA (ENSSBOG00000000524.1)". It matches the Rfam family "U4 spliceosomal RNA". Rfam says of the family: U4 small nuclear RNA (U4 snRNA) is a component of the major U2-dependent spliceosome. Lineage: Eukaryota; Metazoa; Chordata; Mammalia; Primates; Cebidae. The record is from Rfam by way of RNAcentral.